RNAcentral lists this unclassified non-coding RNA (240 nucleotides) under soil metagenome. Its description in RNAcentral is "partial contains 5.8S ribosomal RNA, internal transcribed spacer 2, and large subunit ribosomal RNA". The record is from RNAcentral.
AAGACUAUAGACCUGCGGAGUACCUGCGGAGGGAUCAUUAAUGAAAUCAUAUUCUCCUUUGGAGUUUCUUCUAGCUGAUGCGUCUUUUGGCUGCACGCUGUUGUCACUCUUUAGGGGUUAUAUUUCCACAAACCCUUCUGUGCAUAUUGGGAGGCUUUAUUGUCCUCUCCUAAUUCAUAUACUCUAAUGUUUAAUCAUGUCAUACAAUGUUAAAUACAUUAAACAACUUUCAACAAUGGA